Long non-coding RNA from Ostrea edulis (European flat oyster), 959 nucleotides. RefSeq lists it as uncharacterized. The record is from RefSeq and is a predicted model, not a curated record. NCBI's taxonomy places the organism in Eukaryota, Metazoa, Mollusca, Bivalvia, Ostreida, Ostreidae. The transcript has 3 exons.
AUAUUAGAUACCUUUUGAUCAGUCGUCCCUUGCGAUAUUUUUUCACUCGUAUGAGUCGUCAACAAAUACCGGUAAAGGACUUUAAACGACACAAGUGCCGGGCACUUGGCAAAUGAACAGUCACUACAUACAUGUAUCAUAGGUUUGACGCCAGAUGCGGAGCUGGGAACGAGAACCGAACCCAUUACCUCAUGAUUACGACCUUUUGGAUGAUGCUCUAAGAAAUGUUAAGGCAAAAGAAAAUCAUCAUCCCCCAACCGCAGCAGUCUCCCCGGGACAACUGCGCUGCGGGUCAGCAGUACAUAUUGUGCGGAUGUGUUUCCGAGCUAUAGUACCUUCACAACAACCUUCGUGAUUCUUGUCGAAUGCUUGGUUUCCGCAGCAGACCAAUUCUGCAGACGACCGGGAAUGGUUCACCCCAUUACAGCAGAUAUAUAGAGACGUAUUUAUGGAACCUAGUUACGGAAAAAAAUUGGAUGUGGUCGAUUUUCAUAUAUUUUUUUAGAAUCUCAGUUGAACAAUCUUACAAAAAGAUAUCAAUUGUUGGAUUACCUUGCCCACAGCACUUUUCAUUUUUAGGUGCCCGGAUAUUGGUUCCAUGACAGCAUUGUUGUGUGUUAAUGGAAUACACCUGUGUUCCGCAGCAGUCAACAGGAUUGGUAUAUACCGAAAUAUUGUGAAGAACUCGGUUGUCGCAACACCUCAUGCUGGAUGUAUUGUAUGUAACGUUACUACAGAUACCUUGUGUCAGUAGUAGAACUUUGUCGUCGACACAGUGGUGAGUGGUGGGGUCGUAUGCUUCCGAGAGACAACAAAUGAUGCCUUUCAUUUUUUUAAAAGCUUUAUUUUCACAACAAAUAUGUGUUGUUGUGUUGUAUUGGCUUUCACCACAGCAAUCCAUGUCUUCUGAUAAAAAAUAUAAAUCGGCAUGUACAUGUAUAAACGUAUGCUAGAUCUAA